AGUGAACGCUGGCGGUAGGCCUAACGCAUGCAAGUCGAACGGCAGCACAGUAAGAGCUUGCUCUUACGGGUGGCGAGUGGCGGACGGGUGAGGAAUACAUCGGAAUCUACUUUUUCGUGGGGGAUAACGUAGGGAAACUUACGCUAAUACCGCAUACGACCUACGGGUGAAAGCAGGGGAUCUUCGGACCUUGCGCGAUUGAAUGAGCCGCUGUCGGAUUAGCUAGUUGGCGGGGUAAAGGCCCACCAAGGCGCGGAUCCGUAGCUGGUCUGAGAGGAUGAUCAGCCACACUGGAACUGAGACACGGUCCAGACUCCUACGGGAGGCAGCAGUGUGGAAUAUUGGACAAUGGGCGCAAGCCUGAUCCAGCCAUACCGCGUGGGUGAAGAAGGCCUUCGGGUUGUAAAGCCCUUUUGUUGGGAAAGAAAAGCAGCAGGUUAAUACCCCGCUGUUCUGACGGUACCCAAAGAAUAAGCACCGGCUAACUUCGUG
Molecule: ribosomal RNA, 492 nt
Filed under: uncultured bacterium
Lineage: Bacteria
Description: partial 16S ribosomal RNA
Rfam family: Bacterial small subunit ribosomal RNA
Source: RNAcentral